CCGCCCCAAACCCCCCUACGACCCCAACCAGUAGCGCUCCAGCAAGCAGCGUCCCCGUGACCGCCCCGGAGCCACCAGCGCUCUCCGCCUCUUCCUCCUCCUCCUCAUCGGCGGCGGGGCGGCGGUCCUUGGGGUUGCCGCUCCCGCCGCCGCCGAGGCGGAAGGGGACGUUGGGCGAGGCCUUCCGUAGCGUGGCCUUGUUGGGCUCCCGCAGCGAGGAGAGCGGCGGCUGGAAGGCCCGCCCCCGGUGCAGCAGCCGCCGCCGCCACGGCGAGGCCCCGAGCGCC
This 287-nucleotide long non-coding RNA is filed under the name Setaria italica (foxtail millet). Its description in RNAcentral is "long non-coding RNA (SITA_LNC004129)". Lineage: Eukaryota; Viridiplantae; Streptophyta; Magnoliopsida; Poales; Poaceae. The record is from RNAcentral.